GAUACCCUGGUAGUCCACGCCGUAAACGAUGAGUGCUAGGUGUUAGGGGGUUUCCACCCCUUAGUGCUGCAGCUAACGCAUUAAGCACUCCGCCUGGGGAGUACGGUCGCAAGACUGAAACUCAAAGGAAUUGACGGGGGCCCGCACAAGCGGUGGAGCAUGUGGUUUAAUUCGAAGCAACGCGAAGAACCUUACCAGGUCUUGACAUCCCGCUGACCGCCAUGGAGACAUGGCUUUCCCUUCGGGGACAGCGGUGACAGGUGGUGCAUGGUUGUCGUCAGCUCGUGUCGUGAGAUGUUGGGUUAAGUCCCGCAACGAGCGCAACCCUUGUCCUUAGUUGCCAUCAUUCAGUUGGGCACUCUAAGGAGACUGCCGUACAAAUACGGAGGAAGGUGGGGAUGACGUCAAAUCAUCAUGCCCCUUAUGACCUGGGCUACACACGUGCUACAAUGGGCAGUACAAAGGGCUGCGAACCCGCGAGGGGAGCGAAUCCCAAAAAGCUGCUCUCAGUUCGGAUUGCAGGCUGA
This 527-nucleotide ribosomal RNA is filed under the name uncultured bacterium. RNAcentral describes it as "bacterial SSU rRNA". It matches the Rfam family "Bacterial small subunit ribosomal RNA", at positions 781 to 1308 of the family's 1533-position model. The record is from RNAcentral.